This 301-nucleotide ribosomal RNA is filed under the name uncultured bacterium. RNAcentral describes it as "partial 16S ribosomal RNA". It matches the Rfam family "Bacterial small subunit ribosomal RNA", at positions 509 to 808 of the family's 1533-position model. The record is from RNAcentral.
CAGUAGCCGCGGGAAUACGUAGGUGGCGAGCGUUGUCCGGAUUUAUUGGGCGUAAAGGGAGUGUAGGCGGUCUUUUAAGUCUGAUGUGAAAGCCCACGGCUCAACCGUGGAGGGUCAUUGGAAACUGGGAGACUUGAGUGCAGAAGAGGAGAGCGGAAUUCCAUGUGUAGCGGUGAAAUGCGUAGAUAUAUGGAGGAACACCAGUGGCGAAGGCGGCUCUCUGGUCUGUAACUGACGCUGAGGCUCGAAAGCGUGGGGAGCAAACAGGAUUAGAUACCCGGUAGUCCCUGUCUCUUAUACC